UGGGCGAAAGCCUGACGCAGCACGCCGCGUGGGGGAUGAAGGCUCUCGGGUUGUAAACCCCUUUCAGCAGGAACGAAAAUGACGGUACCUGCAGAAGAAGGCCCGGCCAACUACGUGCCAGCAGCCGCGGUAAUACGUAGGGGCCAAGCGUUGUCCGGAUUUAUUGGGCGUAAAGAGCUCGUAGGCGGUUUGGAUAGUCGGGUGUGAAAACUCCGAGCUCAACUCGGAGACGCCACCCGAUACUGCCAUGACUAGAGUCCGGUAGGGGAGCAGGGAAUUCCUGGUGUAGCGGUGAAAUGCGCAGAUAUCAGGAGGAACACCGGUGGCGAAGGCGCUGCUCUGGGCCGGUACUGACGCUGAGGAGCGAAAGCGUGGGUAGCAAACAGGAUUAGAUACCCUGGUAGUCCACGCCGUAAACGUUGGGCACUAGGUGUGGGCCCUAACCAACGGGGUCCGUGCCGCAGCUAACGCAUUAAGUGCCCCGCCUGGGGAGUACG
Molecule: ribosomal RNA, 497 nt
Filed under: uncultured bacterium
Lineage: Bacteria
Description: bacterial SSU rRNA
Rfam family: Bacterial small subunit ribosomal RNA
Source: RNAcentral